AACGUUGAAAAAAAAAAAUAAAGAAAGGGUGAUCUUGGUUAGGGCAUAGUUGCCUUACAAGGGCACUGUGCUUGACCUUGGCCCUGGGCACAGAUUCAGUGCUUAGGAAGCCAGCGCGGUGGGGUACAGGUGGUCAUUGAUGUUGGUCUCCCUCCAGGCCAGACUGCAAUUCCUGCAGCCCUGCUGGCAUCUGAGCCGUGACCAACGUAGGACUCCUGUUUCCUAGCAGUCCCUGCGGAACUUUCGCCUGAUGGGUCCUCCGUGCCUGGCCGCCGUUGUCUUUCUCCUGGGGAUAAGGAUGCCAGGGGUGGGCUCUGGAGAGCACGCAGGUCUAAGGGGGUGAGGCGAUGGCGCUGCAGGAGGCCUUCUGCCACAUCUGCCUUCCACAGUGGCCAGGGCAGCGUAGGUGGAGGUGGGGACUGUGGACCUGGAGCCAAACCGGCGGAGCCACGCCCCUCCUGCAGCUGUCAGUCAGCUUAAGCCCCGGGGCUAGAGGAGGUGCACUUUCUUCCUUAAAAAUCCUGACCCCCACCCUGUCCUGUCUCUUCUCUCCCAGCCUAAAAAGGUGGGUGCUUGAACUCGCGCGUCUCUGGUCCCACCCCGCCAUUCCCCUCCACUCUAGGGCCACGUGGGUGACUAUCAGCUGCUGCUUUUAACGUGACCUCUAGGUGUCACCCUUGGUCUCAGCUUAACCCGCCUAUCUCAAGCCCCUUGCCCUGGAGGAGGCGGGCCCGGAAGUUCCCUCCUUUCUCGCCCUGCCUCUACCUGAUUCCACUUCUCUUCCAGUCUGCGGAGUGUUUGUCUUUUUACAAGGGGUGACCUGGCAGACCUUACAGAGCCAUGGCAACAAAGAGCCUUGUGCUCACUACAGCAGAGCAUUCUGCCUUUGUCCGAUCCAGUCCGGUGCGUCAGUCUCUGCAAACAACAAAAGAUGUGGCCACUGACCGCCUGCCCCUGCCCCCAUCAGAGGACCAAGGGAAGCUGAGGCCUCUCUGGCUGGAAGCAAGCUAGGAGAGCAGCAGACAGAUACAGCCAAGAUGAUGCUGCAAGAUUAGGGCAGGAUAGAAACUAGAGGAGCCCAGCUCUUCUCCUGAGACCUUCUCUUCAGAAGUGACAGACCUGCCACCUUUAUCUGUGAGAAAAACAGAUGACUCUGGUUCAAUCACUCCUUCCUGAGACUUGGAGUGAAAUUCAUCUGAGGUGAAUUCACCUAAGGUCUUACUCCCAAUAAACCUUUUGCCUUCCUGACUCCAUCUCAGCAUUCCUUCCCGGAAGAUUCAACUGCCACACUUGUCUUGGUAUGGCUGGAAGAAAGAGACUGAAGGAGAGAGGCCUAAAACCAGGCUGUAGAGGUAAGCAAAGCCAGAACACACAGGACUUGAUAGACCAUGCUAAGUAUUUUUUACUUUGCCCUUAGGGCAGUUGGAAGUCACUGCAUGUUUUUAAACAGACUGGGGAGGAGUGGGGAAAAUGAUCAAAUGUAAAUUUGAAAAAUUUGAAAAAUGAUCUAAAUGUAAAUUUAGAAAGACCACUCCAGCUGUUAUAUGUUAAAAAGGCUGGAGACUUGGGAGACUGAGGACAAGAAGAUCAAUAUGCAUGCUAUAACUGGAGUCUAAAAAGAGAAAAUAGUGGCUUGGACUAGGAUGAACCAGAGACAGUGAAGGUUUGAAAGAUAUUUAAAAAGUAGAAUCUCCAAAAUUUGGUGAUUUAUCGGAUGUGGGUGGUGUGGGAAAUGUAAAAGUCAACGAUGCCCAGAUCUCUGGCUUGAGCUACUGUGUGGAAAGUGGUGCCAGAUGCUGAUACAGGGAGUCCUGUGGGAAACAAAUGUGAGAGUUCAACUUUGGACAUGCAGAGUUGGAGAUGCCCCUAGGAUAUCCAAGAGCACUAUAAAGAGUUGGAUAUAUUGUUCUGGAGUGUGAACAGAAAUUUAGGCUGGAGAAGUACAUUUGGGAGUCCUUAGCAUACAGAUGGAAGCAAAUGAGAUCAUCCAGGAGAGGUACAAUGUUUUGAGAGAGACGUAAGAGAUUGACCUAGGAAACUCAGACAUACAAGGUUCUGGAAAGGGACAAGAGGUUAACAAGUGAGACUUAGGCCAGGGAAUAUGGAGUCACAGAAACUUUGAGAGGGUUUUUGAUAAGGAGGAGAUAUAAAUAUUACCUAGUGUCUAAGCAAGGUAAGGACUGAAACUAUUCUUUUGCCUUAGUGACAUGGAGGCCAUUGGUGAACUUAAUAAGAGACAUUUCAGGGCGCCUGGGUGGCGCAGUCGGUUGAGCGUCCGACUUCAGCCAGCCAGGUCACGAUCUCGCGGUCCGUGGGUUCGAGCCC
Molecule: long non-coding RNA, 2325 nt
Organism: Felis catus (domestic cat)
Lineage: Eukaryota; Metazoa; Chordata; Mammalia; Carnivora; Felidae
Exons: 4
Source: RefSeq, a predicted model, not a curated record